GACGAACGCUGGCGGCGUGCCUAACACAUGCAAGUCGAACGAGGUCCAAGGAGUGCUUGCACUCCUGAAGACCUAGUGGCGAACGGGUGAGUAACACGUGAGAAACCUGCCCCGGACUCUGGGAUAACUCAAGGAAACUUGAGCUAAUACCGGAUACCCUCCUGCGGUCGCAUGGCUGCUUGAGGAAAGUUUUUCGGUCUGGGAGGGUCUCGCGGCCUAUCAGCUAGUUGGUGAGGUAACGGCUCACCAAGGCAACGACGGGUAGCUGGUUUGAGAGAACGAUCAGCCACACUGGAACUGAGACACGGUCCAGACUCCUACGGGAGGCAGCAGUGGGGAAUCUUGCGCAAUGGGCGAAAGCCUGACGCAGCAACGCCGCGUGCGGGAUGACGGCCUCGGUUGUAACGCGUUCUAGCAGGACG
This 422-nucleotide ribosomal RNA is filed under the name uncultured bacterium. RNAcentral's name for it is "bacterial SSU rRNA". It matches the Rfam family "Bacterial small subunit ribosomal RNA", at positions 28 to 447 of the family's 1533-position model. The record is from RNAcentral.